Molecule: long non-coding RNA, 430 nt
Organism: Mesocricetus auratus (golden hamster)
Lineage: Eukaryota; Metazoa; Chordata; Mammalia; Rodentia; Cricetidae
Exons: 2
Source: RefSeq, a predicted model, not a curated record
CUCUGGCCCUGGGGCGCAGCAACAGCUAGCCUCACCUCCGCCUGAGUUCAUCGUUCGUUUUUGCGUUCUGGACCCUGGUCUGAAAUCGGAUCGAAUAGCCACACCUGUGUCCGGCUAGAGCCCUGGCCUGAGUCGGGACAAAGACGCCAUUGCUGGAGGCGGCGCGUACAAGGGACGCAGACGCAGCGGUGACUAGGGACCGCAUCGUUGUAGUAGUUUUUUGUUUGUUUUUGUUUUUGCUUUGUUUUGUUCAGGCUGAGUCUCAAACCCUAAUCGGGCUGGUCCGGAACUCAUUAAAGGGACCCAGGCUGGUCUCGAACUCGCGGUAAUCCCCCUGUCUCGACUAAACGCUAGGAUUAUUACAGGCUUGCGCCUCUACCUUCAAUAACGCCUCGAUUUUGAAAUGAAAAUAAAAAUAACACUUCUUGUG